GAUGAAGAACGCAGCGAAAUGCGAUACUUGGUGUGAAUUGCAGAAUCCCGUGAACCAUCGAGUCUUUGAACGCAAGUUGCGCCCGAAGCCAUUAGGCCGAGGGCACGCCUGCCUGGGCGUCACACGUCGUUGCCCCCCCCAUCUACUCCUUCGGGAUUGCGGGGGGCGGAUGAUGACCUCCCGUGCGCCUCGCCGCGCGGUUGGCAUAAAUGCCAAGUCCUCGGCGACGCACGCCACGACAAUCGGUGGUUGCGAAACCUCGGUUGCCCGUCGUGUGCGGUCGUCGCGCAUCGAGGGCUCGAAAAAAUUGCCGAGUUCCGGCUCGGCUUUCAACGCGACCCCAGGUCAGGCGGGGUUACCCGCUGAAUUUAAGCAUAUCAAUAAGCGGAGGA
RNAcentral lists this unclassified non-coding RNA (392 nucleotides) under soil metagenome. RNAcentral's name for it is "partial contains 5.8S ribosomal RNA, internal transcribed spacer 2, and large subunit ribosomal RNA". The stretch from base 1 to 122 matches the Rfam family "5.8S ribosomal RNA", at positions 35 to 154 of the family's 154-position model. The record is from RNAcentral.